AUACGUAGGGGGCGAGCGUUGUCCGGAAUGAUUGGGCGUAAAGGGCGCGUAGGCGGCCCGGUAAGUCUGGAGUGAAAGUCCUGCUUUUAAGGUGGGAAUUGCUUUGGAUACUGUCGGGCUUGAGUGCAGGAGAGGUAAGUGGAAUUCCCAGUGUAGCGGUGAAAUGCGUAGAGAUUGGGAGGAACACCAGUGGCGAAGGCGACUUACUGGACUGUAACUGACGCUGAGGCGCGAAAGUGUGGGGAGCAAACAGGAUUAGAUACCCUGGUAGUCCACACUGUAAACGAUGAAUGCUAGGUGUAGGGGGUAUCGACCCCUUCUGUGCCGCAGUUAACACAAUAAGUAGUCCGCCUGGGGAGUACGGCCGCAAGGUUGAAACUCAAAGGAAUUGACGGGG
RNAcentral lists this ribosomal RNA (397 nucleotides) under uncultured bacterium. RNAcentral's name for it is "partial 16S ribosomal RNA". It matches the Rfam family "Bacterial small subunit ribosomal RNA", at positions 523 to 918 of the family's 1533-position model. The record is from RNAcentral.